GAUGAACGCUGGCGGCGUGCCUAAUACAUGCAAGUCGAACGGAAAGACGAGGAGCUUGCGCCUCUGACGUUAGCGGCGGGCGGGUGAGUCACACGUGUAUAACCUACCUAUAUGUCUGGGAUCACUACGGAAAACCGGCUAUUAUAACAGAUAAUAUAUUGAACCGCAUGGUUCAAUGGUGAAAUACGGUUUUUGUGUCACUUAUAGCUGGUUCCGGGCCGCAUUAGCUAGUUGGUAAGGUACCGGCUUACCAAGGCUACGAUGCGUAGCCGACCUGAGAGGGUGAUCGGCCACACUGGAACUUGGACACGGUCCAGACUCCUACGGGAGGCAGCAGUAGGGAAUCUUCCGCAAUGGGCGCAAGCCUGACCCAGCAACGCCGCGUGAGUGAUGAAGGCCUUCGGAUCGUAAAGCCCUGUUAUUAGGAAAGAACAACUGUGGAAUUAUACAUGGCCGUUCUGACGGUACCUAAUCAAUAAGCCCCGGCUAACUACGUG
Molecule: ribosomal RNA, 497 nt
Filed under: uncultured bacterium
Lineage: Bacteria
Description: partial 16S ribosomal RNA
Rfam family: Bacterial small subunit ribosomal RNA
Source: RNAcentral